Podarcis muralis (Common wall lizard) is the source of this 742-nucleotide long non-coding RNA. RefSeq lists it as uncharacterized. The record is from RefSeq and is a predicted model, not a curated record. NCBI's taxonomy places the organism in Eukaryota, Metazoa, Chordata, Lepidosauria, Squamata, Lacertidae.
CAGAGGAGUCUUAUAGAGCCACUACCUGUGUGUUCCUUACUUUGCCUAGCCUCUUGCUGGGUGCAACUUGUGCACUGAGAGGAGCCCUGCCUGAACCGCCCCGACCCCAGAAGGGCCAGAGAAGAAGUCAACUUCACUCUCUUUGUUCCGGAAAGCCAUCCCAUGGGGUGCAGCAUCUUCCCAGGGCCUUGGGGGCCAUGGGUGGCUCUUACUUGGCUUUUGGCAAGUGUUUCCUUUGGACUCAGCACAGAAGUGCAUGGAAUCAACUGCCACAGGUGCGUAAUGGAGAAGCCAGGGCUGCCAUGCUAUCCUUCAGACGGAAUCUGCUCAGUGUGGCGUGGUGGGGGAUGCUUUACUGAGAAAGAGUACAAAGAUGGCAGAGUGGUGAAAAUAACCAAGGGCUGUUAUGUAGAUAAUUCCAGAUGUGAAACCAGAUGGAUAAAUCAUGCAGAUGAAAUUGAACAUGAGAAACGCUGCUGUGCCAAAGACAAUUGCAACAACAAAUGGUAGAGUGUGGAUGAAGACACACGUAACGGUUAAGGCUGAAAUCCUACCAACACCUCUUGUGGAUUAAGCACCAUGGAACUCAGUAGAAUUUCCUUCUGAUUAAACAUUCAUACAAUUACUCUAGAUGAAAAAUUGCAUCCCUUCUUCUUUAAUAUUGUAAGACACCCUGAUGAUUGUGUUGUAGCGCCACCUAUAAAUCCUUUGAAGAACUAAAUAAACAUGAUUUUAAAUGCUG